This 777-nucleotide ribosomal RNA is filed under the name uncultured Neocallimastigales. RNAcentral describes it as "partial large subunit ribosomal RNA". It matches the Rfam family "Eukaryotic large subunit ribosomal RNA", at positions 19 to 621 of the family's 3401-position model. Lineage: Eukaryota; Fungi; Neocallimastigomycota; Neocallimastigomycetes; Neocallimastigales. The record is from RNAcentral.
CGAGCACGCGCGUGUGGCAUAUCAAUAAGCGGAGGAAAAGAAACUAACUAGGAUUCCCUCAGUAACGGCGAGUGAAGCGGGAAGAGCUCAAAUUUGAAAUCUUCAAGGGUUUCCCUUGACGAAUUGUAGUUUAAAGAAGUGUUUUCUGUUAGAGAGGUGGUAAAAGUUCUUUGGAAUAGGACAUCAUAGAGGGUGAGAAUCCCGUAUUUGGUCAUUCUUUCUAGCUUUGUGAUACACUUUCAACGAGUCGGAUUGUUUGGGAAUGCAGUCCAAAAUGGGUGGUAAGUUUCACCUAAAGCUAAAUAUUGGCGAGAGACCGAUAGCGAACAAGUACCGUGAGGGAAAGAUGAAAAGAACUUUGAAAAGAGAGUUAAACAGUACGUGAAAUUGUCAAAAGGGAAGCGUUUGACACCAGUGUUGUUUUUCCGAAAAUCAAUUACGAAUGUUUUGGUUUUUGAGGAAGUUAUGACUUCAUCGGCUUGCUCCUUUCUUUACGAAACUUUCUUAAUGCACUUUUCGGUUAACAAGUCAACAUCAAUUUCUUUUGUUGUAAAAGGGUAUGAGGAAGGUGGCUUUCUUUUCGGAGAAAGUGUUUAUAGCCUUGUGCCUCUGACAAUCGGAGAGAUUGAGGUCUGCAGCGUAGAUCCUUCGGGGUUAGAUACGUUUGUGCUAAGUUAUAGCUUUUCAUAGACAACUUGUUGACUAUGUUUAGUCUUGUAGCUUACUCGCUGACGCUAUUUUACCUACGCUUAGGAUGUUGAACUCUAUCACACACAG